Astatotilapia calliptera (eastern happy) is the source of this 1103-nucleotide long non-coding RNA. Lineage: Eukaryota; Metazoa; Chordata; Actinopteri; Cichliformes; Cichlidae. The record is from Ensembl.
AUACAAUGUUGUAAUUUGUUUUUCAACAAUUUUUUGAUUAAUGUUUUGUUUCCUUUACAAUAUUAUACAUUAAAGUAUAAUAUUGUAAAGGAAACAAAACAGGAAACAAAACAUCAAUCAAAAAAUUGCUCUCUUUUUUUAUUCAGGUUACUUAAAUUUAUUUUAGGCUACCAAAAACUGAAGAGUUCCUCCCCGAAGGGCUACCAGGGAUUUUGAAAUUUUGCGAGCCCUGAGAUAUAUUUAUUUAUUUUUAUUACUUUUUUGUUUCAGCAACAUUAAAUUUAAAAACUGUACUUUUGAGUUAAAAUAUAUAUUUAUAAUUUUAAUAAAUGACAAAUUAAAAAGGCAUGAACAUUUUUUUUUUGUAUCGAAAGAAUAUCGAACUGUGACACCAAAGUAUCGAACCAAACCGUGAAUUUUGUGUAUCGUUGCACCCCUAAUAUAUAUGUAUAUUUCUGAAUUUGGCUGUUGUUACGUUUCGGUGUUGUCAGUGUUUUGUUUUUGCGUGACUGUUAUGUGUUUCCUGUUUUACUUUGAAAGUCUGUUGUUAUCUUAGUGUGUUCAGUUUACGUUUCCUUGUCUCGUCAGUUCUAAUUUGCCCCAGCUGUGUUUCCCUCCUGUGGUCCAUUCCCUGAUUGCUCCUUCUAUGUAUUUAAGCCUUGUGUUUCUGUAUGUCAUGGUCGCGAUCUCCCCCCCGUUGUAAAUAGUUUGACGUCUGGUGUUUGGUGAUGUAAAUAAAUGUGGUGUUUUGCUUUAAAUCUCGUUUUGGGAUUAUUUUUAUUUUCCUUUUUUUUAUUUUUCUGCGUUGCACCCCGGUUGCCUAGGCCGGGGUGUAACAUAUGGGGGCUCGUCCAAUCGCUGGAGGGUCCGAGGGCCGCUUCGGCCUCCGUCUGUCUUCGCUGGAGGGCCCGGGGACCGCUUCAGCCGUCCGCCGUCGCUGGAGGGUCCGAGGGAGGGACCGCUUCAGCCGUCUGUCUUCGCUGGAGGGUCCGAGGGCCGGUCCAGCCUUCAUCCGCCUUCGCUGGAGGGUCCGAGGGACCGUCCCGGCCUUCGUCGUCUGCUGGAGGGUCCGAGGGACUGCUCCAGCCUUCAUCCGCCUUCGC